GAUAACCUUAGGAAGAGACACAUCAUCAAACCCCUUGAUUGUGUUUACUGCUUGGAACAAGAGUCUUGUUCUCACCUAUUUUUUGAAUGUAUAGUUGCUAAACAUCUCUGGGCCCACAUUGAGGAAUAUUUCUCUAGUCAGAUUGGCUCAUCCUUCGAAUGUGUCGCCAGAUUCUGGAUUGCUACCAAAAAGUGCUUAGUUUUAAAUACUGUUAGCUCAGCUGUGCUUUGGUGCCUCUAGAAAUAUAGAAAUGCUAUGAUUUUCAGUAACACCUCCUGGAUUUCCAUUCCGCGGGUCUUGAGGUUGAUCAGGAACAUGCUGAGGAACUGGGCGAUUCUCUCCUCUGGAUCGGACAAGGACAAGUUGAUGAGCUUCGUGGAAACCCUAACAAGAUCCCUCCAGAAACCGUUGGCGAUCACUUGUGGCUGA
This 429-nucleotide ribosomal RNA is filed under the name Triticum aestivum (bread wheat). RNAcentral describes it as "partial small subunit ribosomal RNA". Lineage: Eukaryota; Viridiplantae; Streptophyta; Magnoliopsida; Poales; Poaceae. The record is from RNAcentral.